RNAcentral lists this ribosomal RNA (253 nucleotides) under uncultured bacterium. RNAcentral describes it as "partial 16S ribosomal RNA". It matches the Rfam family "Bacterial small subunit ribosomal RNA", at positions 524 to 776 of the family's 1533-position model. The record is from RNAcentral.
UACGUAGGUGGCAAGCGUUGUCCGGAUUUAUUGGGUUUAAAGGGUGCGUAGGUGGAAUGGUAAGUCAGUGGUGAAAUCUCCAAGCUUAACUUGGAAACUGCCGUUGAUACUAUCAUUCUUGAAUAUCGUGGAGGUAAGCGGAAUAUGUCAUGUAGCGGUGAAAUGCUUAGAUAUGACAUAGAACACCGAUUGCGAAGGCAGCUUGCUACACGAUCAUUGACACUGAGGCACGAAAGCGUGGGGAUCAAACAGG